Etheostoma spectabile (orangethroat darter) is the source of this 236-nucleotide long non-coding RNA. RefSeq lists it as uncharacterized. Lineage: Eukaryota; Metazoa; Chordata; Actinopteri; Perciformes; Percidae. The record is from RefSeq and is a predicted model, not a curated record. The transcript is spliced from 2 exons.
UGCCACAUUAGGCUGAAUGUUGUUUGAUAAAGGAUAAAAUAGGCUCCAAUGAUACAGACUUUCAAAGUAAUAUUCAGGAUGUUUUGUAUUUUAAGUGAGAAAUGACCAUCUCUCAGAAAUUUUAGUCAUGCUGCUGUGACAAAUAUGAAGCAGUUGUUUGCUGAAUCUCAUGUUCCCCAGGAAAAAUACAGCAGAGGAAAAAAAGAGAGGGGAGCGAGGAAAAACUGAAACAUUUU